Poecilia reticulata (guppy) is the source of this 814-nucleotide non-coding RNA. The record is from RefSeq and is a predicted model, not a curated record. NCBI's taxonomy places the organism in Eukaryota, Metazoa, Chordata, Actinopteri, Cyprinodontiformes, Poeciliidae.
UUUCAGAUAAGUAAGAAAAGGAUAAUGCAUCAAUAUAAGCAUUUAUUAAUAAAGACACUGAAUGUUUCAGGGGAUUUUUUCCCAUGACUUUGUGGCAUUGAGYGGUCUGGGACGCUGGGAACGGUGGCUGAUUACUGGUACCAGUUGACAAAUGGAUCUCUGCUUCUCAUCCGUUACACCAUGUGAACAUCUGACAGCAGCCAGACCGCCUGGUACUGUAUGCAGUGCAGCAUGGGAAACACAGCCAGGUGUCACUGCAAAGCUACGCUAAUUAGCCCGGUAAUGAAGACGAGGAAUGUCAGACGGAGAGGGCGGCGCGAGCUCACGACGACGACGACGCGGAGAAACGUCCGAACACAAGCUGAGAGUCUGCAGGACGCCCUGCUGAGGCUCUGCUGGUCCCGAGGGAUCCGGUUCAACGUUUGCACAUGAGAAUAUCUACAGUCCGUCCGCUCUGCUGCUGAAAGGGGUUUUCCACGUCUCCAUCCAUCAAAGGGAGGAUCCAUCACAGAAAAGAAGACGGAGAAGCAGCAGCUCCAUUGGCCAAGACUGUGAUGCACAAAAGAGGAAUUUGGCUCCGUUUUYAAGGCGUCAACAGAUAUCAACUGAAACUCCUUUUAACGGCUGUUUCUUGGAUCUUUUGAUGCCUGCUGCUGCUAACACAAGAUCAUCAUUUCAGGAACGUUCCUCUUCCAAAGCAGCCGUGGAAUCAGAGCAUGAAGGAAUGCCAGUCUGAAAUUUUAAGAUUGAUUUCAUGUAUUUUCUACAAAAGAUAUGAAAAUUUUCUCAGGUAAUAAAGUGGAACAUUUUUGAU